UAGAGAUUAACAGGAUUAGAUACCCGGGUAGUCCACGCCGUAAACGAUGGAUACUAGCUGUUGGAGGUAUCGACCCCUUCAGUAGCGAAGCUAACGCGUUAAGUAUCCCGCCUGUGGAGUACGGUCGCAAGACUAAAACAUAAAGGAAUUGACGGGGACCCGCACAAGCGGUGGAUCAUGUUCUUUAAUUCGAUGCUAAACGAAGAACCUUACCAGGGCUUGACAUCCAGGGAAGCACUACGAAAGUAGAGUGUGCCUUUUGGAACCCUGUGACAGAUGAUGCAUGGCCGUCGUCAGCUCGUGUCGUGAGAUGUUUGGUUAAGUCCAUCAACGAGCGCAACCCUUGUGAAUAGUUGGAUUUUUCUAUUCAGACUGCCCCGGUAACGGGGAGGAAGGAGGGGAUGACGUCAGGUCAGUAUUUCUCUUACGUCCUGGGCUAGAAACGUGAUACAAUGGCCGGUACAAUGCGCUGCGAAGCCGCGAGGUGAAGCAAAUCGCAUCAAAGCCGGUCCCAGUUCGGAUUGGAGGCUGAAACUCGCCUCCAUGAAGUCGGAAUCGCUAGUAAUCGCAAGUCAGCAAAUUGCGGUGAAUACGUUCCCGGGUCUUGUACACACCGCCCGUCAAACCAUGAAAGUGACCAACACCCGAAGUCCGAUUCGUCGGCCUAAGGUGGGGGGCAUGAUUGGGGUUAAGUCGUAAC
Molecule: ribosomal RNA, 700 nt
Filed under: uncultured archaeon
Lineage: Archaea
Description: bacterial SSU rRNA
Rfam family: Bacterial small subunit ribosomal RNA
Source: RNAcentral